AUGAUGACCAGAUGUCCUAAACUAAUACUAGGCCCAGACCAAGCCCCCAGACUACUACAGAUCCCACACCAGACCCCUACAUACAGAUUCAGACCAAAUCUUUAAACUAAUAUACAGACCCCAGACCAGGCUCCAUAUAAACCAACCCCAAACCUAUACCAGAACCCAAAACUUUUACAGACUCCCUUUACUUAGACCCCCAAACUAAUACAGACCCCAGACCAGGCUCCAUAUAAACCAACACCAACCCCAGACCAGACCCAGAUCGGAACCCAAAAUUAUUACAGACUCCCUUUACACAGACCCCCAAACUAAUACAGACCCCAGACCAGGCUCCAUAUAAACCAACACCAACCCCAGACCAGACCCAGAUCAGAACCCAAAAUUAUUACAGACUCUCUUUACACAGACCCCAGACCCCCAAACUAAUACAGACCCUAGACCAGGCUCCAUAUAAACCAACACCAACCCCAGACCAGACCCAGAUCGGAACCCAAAAUUAUUACAGACUCCCUUUACACAGACCCCCAAACUAAUACAGACCCCAGACCAGGCUCCAUAUAAACCAACACCAACCCCAGACCAGACC
Molecule: long non-coding RNA, 589 nt
Organism: Bufo bufo (common toad)
Lineage: Eukaryota; Metazoa; Chordata; Amphibia; Anura; Bufonidae
Exons: 2
Source: RefSeq, a predicted model, not a curated record